UUAGGUAAAGUCCCGCUGAGGACACUCCCAAACCACGAGGCUCUCCGCUUCGCUUUUCCUUCUUCCUCUUCUCGUCUCUCGAACGGUUCUGUUCUUCCAUUCCGCCUCGCUUUUGAUGUCAAUUUGAGAUUUGGUCUGCCCGCAAAGGUUUAUCUGAUAUGUUUUUCGUUUUUGAGGGGAUGAUUUGAUGUUUGUUGGAUUGGAUAGGAGGGAGGAUUAGGGUUUUGGUGAAGAUUGAUGCGCAAGGGUGUUGAAGAAUCCGAUGGAGGAGAAGAAGAUGGAUCUCGAAGCACCGCUGCUGUCCGUUCGGAGAUUCUCGGCGGGGCCGUCGGCUUCUCCGACGCUGCUACCGGAGGAGGAGGGCGAGGCGCGGCCUCCGCCGCCAAGGAGGGCAUCGCUUCCGUACUACAAGUCGGAUUUGAAAUCGGGCCCAGUGCGUGUUCCAGGGGUCGUCCCGUUCGUAUGGGAGCAGACUCCGGGGUUGCCUAAGAACGGGGCGCGAUCGGCCGUGGACAGCGGUGGGAAGGUGAUGAAGGUCCCCAAGCUUCCGCCUGGAAGGAUCCAGAACGGCAAGGGGGGAAACUCGUUUCGGGAUGCCUUGGCUCCGGCUGUGAAGGUUGGCAGCAGUGUGCGGACUCGUAAAGCUGUGACCUUUGCGCCCGAUGCUGGAACUGCCAAUUCUUACGAGUCUUCUGAGGACGUGCCUAAGAUUGUCGUGGAUGAGAGGGUAGAGAAGAUUGAGAAGGAAAAUAAGGUAGAAAAUGCCGAUAGGAUUGAGAUGCCAGUGAAGACAGAGAAUAUGGAAGAGAUUGAGGUGGAGGAAACGGUUGAAAGUGAAGAGAGGAUUGAGAAAGCUGAGAAGGUAGAGAAAAAGCUAGAAAAGCAGCCCGUUUCAGCCUCAGAGAAUCAUAAUAAAGAAGACAAUGUUGAAGAAGACGCCUUCUCUGAUGCGCUUGAUACACUAUCACGAUCGGAGUCAUUCUUCAUGAAUUGUAGUGUCAGUGGCAUUAGUGGAAUCCCAGAUGUGGCCAAGUUCUCGGGCAACUUUCUCAAGGAUCCCGAGCUCAGGGAUUUCAUGAUAGAGAGGUUCUUGCCUGCUGCACAGGCAAUGUCUUCCGAUUCACCCCAUUAUACCUUUAAAAAAUCAGCUGCACCUCCACGAGCGGCUACGAAGCUUCUUGAGAGGGUUGAAACUAGUGAUCCUGCCAAGAGGCCACCUAUUCCCCUCCAGAAAAAUUAUGCUUAUCCCGAACAGUAUGCUAAGGAGUUGGAGGAAGAGGAUACCUAUGAUGAAGACAAUGAAGACGGUGAAGAUGAGGAGUGCUAUGAUGAUACUGGCCAUUUUCCUUCUAAAGGUUGUGGAUUGCUUCCUCAAUUUUGUUUGAAGAGUUCAUUCUGCCUUCUAAAUCCAGUCCCAGGGAUGAAAGUUCGAGGAAGACACUUGCCUUCAGCAAGGGGAAAGUCUGGAAGCCCACAGAUCAAGAAUGUAUAUCCAAUAUCUCUUGUUCAAGUUGAAGAGCUCUCAUGGGAAGCUGUUUAUGGAAAAAAAUUGGGUCUGGAACAUUCUCCCCAGAAAGAAGUGAUAGGUAAAUUGAGUGAAUCUGAUACUCUUACAGCUGAUUGUUCAUCUGCAUUUGGUAAUUCAGUGGCUACCGGAGGUACAACCCCUGAUAAAAAUGAUGGCCAUCCAUCAACUGUUCAUGAAAGGAAGGAUUCUGUUGGAAUUCUAAGCAGAGAAAGCAAUUGUAGUAAGAUUGAUGGUUCUGAUGCUGGCGAGAAAAGCAGCGGAAGCUACAGGGAAAUAAAUCACAGCAACCAAAUAGGUUCAGAGUCCAUGAGCUCUUUAUUGGACAAAACUCUGCGUGUAGAUUCAGGUAAUAGACCAGGAUCUUCGGACUCAAAGGCUAGUUCCUUCUAUGCUGUCAGUGAUACUAGAAGUAUGAUGAGUUCUGGUGAGAUUGGUAUAGAUAGUUGGAGUAGAGAAAGUAUAGUUGCUGGAGCUGAUAAAAAAAAUGCAUUGCAACCAGAAGUCACCAAAGUUUCUAUGCCCAUUUCACUCUUCCCUUCAAAAAGAUUAAAUAAUGGGAAUAUGGAUGUUGAUGAUAAUAGAAAUCGUGGCAAUGAUAGUGAGCCAUUGCAUUUGAAGAGCGGCAUUAAUCCUUUGCUGUCACUGCUGCCUCCACCAUUGCCGAAAUCACCAUCAGAGUCUUGGCUUUCUAGAACUUUGCCUUCUGUCUCAUCAAAAAAUCCAACUCCACAGUCAUUAUUAGGCAUUCAACUUCAGAAUAGGAAACAAACUGUGCAAACACCCUCUAAUGACGUGAAACAAGAAACAAAUAUCAGGCCUUCAAGAUCACGACGUCGACAGAUUCGAUUUGCUGAGGUGCUGUCAAAACCUGACUCACAAAUAUAAGAAAAAUGAGGUGUAAACUUACUUUUCUUCCACCAUCACACCAUAUCUUAUGAUUACAGAGGAUAGAGAAGGUAUACGAAGGAUCGGAAUUGUGAGGGGAGGGUGAGUAUCACUGGUCACAAAUCGUUUCUUUUAUCCUAAAUCUAAGAUUCAUGAUCCUUGAUCGCACUGUUGGGUAAUCAACUAGAAUUUCUCUUUUCGAAAUCUUUGAAAAAAAGGUAAUUCGUAUAAUGAAGUUUACAAGGAGUAUAAGAUAAAGAUUGUUGUAGCUCUUUGUUGAUGUAACUUGCACAGAUUUGAAGCAUAGAGCAGUAGCAGCACGAACAGAGAGAAAGAAGACUAGAAGGUUGCACAGAAGUUCUUAUCGGUAUGUACUUUUAUAAGCAUUGUUCGAUUGAUCGAAAAAGUCGUCGAUGGAUCUUUUCGGUCGAUCGAUCUCCUUAUCGGUUGACUGAUCAACUAAUCUUUCUUCUUCGGUGAGUUCCGAUCUUUGUGUCGUUAAUGUCAUUUAAUGUUUGAUCGAUCAUCUUGAUUGGUUGACUGAUCCUUGUGUUUUUCAAUUUUGCCGAGAUCGAAUCUGCCACUAUGUUUAUCAAAUUAGGUUCGGUUGACCGAUUCACCUAAAUUCCAAAUGUGUUCUGUGCGACUUGAACUUGUGUCAUGUCAGCUUGGUUCAAUCGACUGAACCUUCUAUUCGGUCGGCCGAUCCUUUCAAUUUUUGCAAAAUGGAGUUAGUUCGAUAUAAUAAUAAUAUUCUUGUAUAACAAAGUUAGUAUAAUAUUAAAUAAUGCAUAAGUAAGAGAAGAUAGUAAGACAUGUUUGGAUCUCAACUUGGAGACCUCCUGAUUUCUUCAGUUGGAUCAACGACCUAGGGUUUGUCCUUUCCUGGGACAUGACCUCCCCAUUGCUCCACUCUAGUUGCUUAUCUCAACUUACAAACCAAACAUUUAUCCUCCAAAUCUAUUUUGGCUAAGAUUGUUUUUGCAAUACUAAAUUAGCCAAUAAUAAUAAUAAUAGUAAUGUAAAAUGUUAUAGUAAAACUAAACUUAAGUUUACCGAUCGGAAGCCUUUCGAUCAACUUUGCUUGGAGUUCACUCCUCUAAAAUUUUUCAUUACCUAAGGUUGCCUCUUAGGGUUUUCACUUUUCACCACUUGAUUUUACUUAUCAGAACUUUUACUUAGACUUCACUCUUCCAAGACCUAGGAUUAUCUUCCCCUAAGGUUUUCCUCUUUACCUAGGGUUACCUCCUCCUAGGGUAUUCUUCUUGCCAAGCAUUAGUCACCUUUAUCUGUUUGGAUUUAGCCAUUCGGUAGACUACUUACCAUUUGUCAGUCAUCUAGUCAACAUUGACUUGAUUAGACUCCAUUUAAUAUAUUGUCAAACAAACAUCAAAAUCUAAGAUCUCGAUUACACCAACCGUAUACAUCUAUGUCCACAUGGUUUAGGGUUUUAAGCAUCAUGGUCUCUGUUUCUCCAGAAAAGACUAGUACUAAGCUAGAAUUUUAUUCUCUUCUUUAAACUGUGUGCAGUCGCACAUAGGCCGCCAUAUUUCUGUUUUUUGCCUCCACCAUUAAUUCAGUUUUUUGAUCUUAUACAAGGGAUUUUUUAUUUAUUUAAACGGUUGGCCUGAGGCCUGGAACAAGAAUACAUUAUGAGAACACUUAAUUAUUUUUCUUGUGGUUAGUUGGUGGUUGGCUUAGGAUCAACACUAACAUCAGCUUGACAAAGACCAUCAAGCAUUAAUUUUGAGCAAAUACUUAAACUGGUCCUUACCAAAAUGUUUGGUGAAACAAUUUGAUGACCAAGUAGAAUAUUUUAUUAUAAUAGGUGAGUGGAUUUAAAGCGAAUAUUUUGAACUAGAAAUUCUUCACUAGUAGGAGCAGAUAAGGUAUAUAUAUUUGCCCAUUAAUUUUUGGUCUGGGGCUUGUUGGUGAUUCUGAUUAACUUACAGUAUCUCUAUCUUUUCCUCUUGCCUGAAAAUGCAAGUUGCAGAUUAGUGUCUACACCCAUGCUGAAGAUACUACCAAACCAGGAGAGUCCAGCAAAUGAAAGCGGCAUAAAAUGUUGCUAUUGUCGAUGGAGGUCUCUUUUUGUCAAUGUCAAACUCAUGAGGGGUCCAUCUAGAUGCUGCUCAUUUCUAGUGCCUUUGACAAGCUUAUGAACAGCCACGUAUCUAUCUCAUGCCAAAGGAGAAAACUCUAGUUCUUGUCUAGUUGAAAGCGAUCAGUAAAUGGGAUAACUAGUGCCGACGCACUACCUCCCCUUACUUCGAGCCUACAUGAUUCCAAGCCAUCGGCGACGCAGUACCCGACUUCCCCUCCAAAUCAUUGGCAGCGACUUGAUCUCCCUUUACUUCAACUCUAAAGCAUCUCCAUCGAUGUUGAAGACAAAAAUCGGAGAACCGGUAGAAUCCUACUUUCAGCUUCAACCCAAGAAUCAUCGGUAAGUUAUAAUUUUCUGUCCUAGAUUUUGACUAAUUUGUUAUUCUUGUGUGAAAAAUUGAAGCUUUAGGUCAUGAGUGUUUUAGUUCA
Zingiber officinale is the source of this 4945-nucleotide RNA transcript. RefSeq lists it as uncharacterized. The transcript is spliced from 6 exons. Lineage: Eukaryota; Viridiplantae; Streptophyta; Magnoliopsida; Zingiberales; Zingiberaceae. The record is from RefSeq and is a predicted model, not a curated record.